Molecule: ribosomal RNA, 337 nt
Filed under: uncultured bacterium
Lineage: Bacteria
Description: partial 16S ribosomal RNA
Rfam family: Bacterial small subunit ribosomal RNA
Source: RNAcentral
CCUACGGGUGGCAGCAGUGGGGAAUAUUGCACAAUGGGGGAAACCCUGAUGCAGCGACGCCGCGUGAGUGAAGAAGUAAUUCGUUAUGUAAAGCUCUAUCAGCAGGGAAGAAAAUGACGGUACCUGAGUAAGAAGCCCCGGCUAACUACGUGCCAGCAGCCGCGGUAAUACGUAGGGGGCAAGCGUUAUCCGGAUUUACUGGGGGUAAAGGGAGCGUAGACGGUAGUGCAAGUCUGGAGUGAAAUGCGGGGGCUCAAACCCCGGACUGGUCUGGAAACUGUACGGCUGGAGUGCAGGAGGGGUAAGUGGAAUUCCUAGUGUAGCGGGGAAAUGCGUA